Molecule: transfer RNA, 89 nt
Filed under: Campylobacter rectus RM3267
Lineage: Bacteria; Pseudomonadati; Campylobacterota; Epsilonproteobacteria; Campylobacterales; Campylobacteraceae
Also listed under: 1 other name
Description: tRNA-Leu
Rfam family: tRNA
About the family: Transfer RNA (tRNA) molecules are approximately 80 nucleotides in length. Their secondary structure includes four short double-helical elements and three loops (D, anti-codon, and T loops).
Source: RNAcentral
UGCCCGGGUGGCGGAAUGGUAGACGCAAGGGACUUAAAAUCCCUCGGUAUUUUUUACCGUACCGGUUCAAGUCCGGUUUCGGGCACCAU